CUGAUUGAGUAUUUUGUAGACAUGGCUAAAAAAGUCGAUGAGGGAAGAGCUGUAGAUGUUGUGUACAUGGAU
Long non-coding RNA from Amblyraja radiata (thorny skate), 72 nucleotides. RefSeq lists it as uncharacterized. Lineage: Eukaryota; Metazoa; Chordata; Chondrichthyes; Rajiformes; Rajidae. The transcript is spliced from 3 exons. The record is from RefSeq and is a predicted model, not a curated record.